RNAcentral lists this ribosomal RNA (506 nucleotides) under uncultured bacterium. Its description in RNAcentral is "partial 16S ribosomal RNA". It matches the Rfam family "Bacterial small subunit ribosomal RNA", at positions 28 to 523 of the family's 1533-position model. The record is from RNAcentral.
GAUGAACGCUAGCUACAGGCUUAACACAUGCAAGUCGAGGGGUAACGAGAGGAAAGCUUGCUUUCCUUGUCGACGACCGGCGCACGGGUGAGUAACGCGUAUCCAACCUGCCCCCAACUAGGGAAUAACCUUGCGAAAGUAAGACUAUUACCCUAUAAUUUCCUCAGAUGACAUCUGACGAGGAAUAAAGAUUUAUCGGUUGUGGAUGGGGAUGCGUCUGAUUAGCUUGUUGGCGGGGUAACGGCCCACCAAGGAAACGAUCAGUAGGGGUUCUGAGAGGAAGGUCCCCCACAUUGGAACUGAGACACGGUCCAAACUCCUACGGGAGGCAGCAGUGAGGAAUAUUGGUCAAUGGGCGGAAGCCUGAACCAGCCAAGUAGCGUGCAGGAUGACGGCCCUAUGGGUUGUAAACUGCUUUUAUACAGGAAUAAAGUUAGCCACGUGUGGUUAUUUGUAGGUACUGUAUGAAUAAGGACCGGCUAAUUCCGUGCCAGCCGCCGCCGUAA